GUCAUGCUAGAGACCUAAACAAUCAUAGAUAAUUAUGAAAUGAUAUCCUUCCGAAUGGGAUAAGAGAAUUCCUAAUAUAUAUUCCCUUUUCGUCUAUUAAUUGAAGAAAUAAUUUGAAAAUUACGUUGACCAAAAGAUGUUGAAGCGGCAUAGAUUAUUUGAAUAGAACCUAAUAUCAUUAACCAGGGGCAAAAUAUUGAAUGAGCGUGGGAAAAUAAUUCCAUAUUAAUUCGAACCAACCCAUAUGCUCCCAUUUUUAAUAAGAUUCCGGCUAAAAGCAUACAAGUG
This 288-nucleotide long non-coding RNA is filed under the name Medicago truncatula (barrel medic). Its description in RNAcentral is "long non-coding RNA (MTRU_LNC001866)". Lineage: Eukaryota; Viridiplantae; Streptophyta; Magnoliopsida; Fabales; Fabaceae. The record is from RNAcentral.